Long non-coding RNA from Callithrix jacchus (white-tufted-ear marmoset), 809 nucleotides. RefSeq lists it as uncharacterized. The record is from RefSeq and is a predicted model, not a curated record. NCBI's taxonomy places the organism in Eukaryota, Metazoa, Chordata, Mammalia, Primates, Cebidae.
GCUAGGUGCCGAGUGCAGAGCUUGAUGUCGAGAGUGCUGAUGUAGUUUUCAGGCACGGGGAGGGAUGGGCGUGUCCGAGCUCCCAGUGAGGCAACUGGCCUUACAAUCACUAUUUUGGAUUUUAGUCAUUCUUACAGUCCAGGUCCCCUCUCAAACCAGCUAGCUGCAGUGGCCUCCUAAGGUGUGUCGUUGCCUGAAGCAUUGCAUCUCUCCAGUUCUUUCAAGACAUGGCCAUUUUGGAGGCAAAAUAUAUAAUUCACUUGGGAAUGCUGCUUCAACAAACUGUUGGAAUAAUUCGGAAAACUGCUAAUUAUGACUUGGGCCAAGAGAAAAAAGAACUCUGAAGCAGGUUCCUGCUGUGUUCCAAGCAGCUCUGAAGCUUGGGUCCUACAGUAUAAACUCCCUCUCACCAUGGCUGAUCUACCUGCUGUUGCUGCUAAAUGUGUAAUCUUCCAGCAAUAAAGAUCAUUCCCGAACUCUUGAUAUGGUAUCACUCCUUUUUCUUCCCCUCAGCCUUACAGAAGUAUAAGUGACACAUAAAAAUGUUAUGUAUCUAAGGUGUGCAUGUGAAGAUCUGAUGUACAUAUACAUUGUGUAAUGAUUAUCAAAAUCAGGCCAAUUAAUACAUCCAUCAUUUCAUGUAGUUACCUUUUUAUGGUAGAAAAAUGAUUAACUAGAUCUUAGCAAACUUGAAAGCAAAUUUCAAGUAUAAAAUACAGCAUCAGUUAUAGUCACCAUGCUGUAUAUCACAUCCCUAGAACUUACUCCUCUUAUUGGUAUUCUUCCUUCAGGUGACCAACCAGCUAUGU